CCUACGGGUGGCAGCAGUGAGGAAUAUUGGUCAAUGGGAGAGAUCCUGAACCAGCCAAGCCGCGUGAGGGAAGACGGCCCUAUGGGUUGUAAACCUCUUUUGUCGGAGAACAAAACCCGGGACGUGUCCCGGACUGCGUGUAUCCGAAGAAAAAGCAUCGGCUAACUCCGUGCCAGCAGCCGCGGUAAUACGGAGGAUGCGAGCGUUAUCCGGAUUUAUUGGGUUUAAAGGGUGCGUAGGCGGCCUGUUAAGUCAGCGGUAAAAGUGCGGGGCUCAACCCCGGCGAGCCGUUGAAACUGGCGGGCUUGAGUUGGCGAGAAGUACGCGGAAUGCGCGGUGUAGCGGUGAAAUGCAUAGAUAUCGCGCAGAACUCCGAUUGCGAAGGCAGCGUACCGGCGCCAGACUGACGCUGAGGCACGAAAGCGUGGGGAUCGAACAGGAUUAGAUACCCGUGUAGUC
RNAcentral lists this ribosomal RNA (459 nucleotides) under uncultured bacterium. RNAcentral describes it as "partial 16S ribosomal RNA". It matches the Rfam family "Bacterial small subunit ribosomal RNA", at positions 338 to 795 of the family's 1533-position model. The record is from RNAcentral.